UUCGCCCUUCGGUUGUCCUGCCGGACCCCACUGCUAUCGAGGUGGGACUAAGCCAUGCUAGUUGAGCGCACAGAACUAUGUCUGUGAGCGGCACACUGCUCAGUAACACGUAGCUAACCUACCCUUAGGACGUGGACAACCCCGAGAAAUUGGGGCUAAUCCGCGAUAGAUGUAUUGUCCUGGAAUGGUAUUACGUCUAAAGGUAUCCCAUACAUGUUUGGUAUAUGCCUAAGGAUGGGGCUGCGGCCGAUCAGGCUGUUGGUGGGGUAAUGGCUCACCAAACCUUUGACCGGUACGGGCCAUGAGAGUGGUAGCCCGGAGAUGGACACUGAGACAAGGGUCCAGGCCCUACGGGGCGCAGCAGGCGCGAAACCUCCUCAAUGCACUUACGUGCAAGGGGGCUACCUCGA
This 410-nucleotide ribosomal RNA is filed under the name uncultured archaeon. RNAcentral describes it as "bacterial SSU rRNA". It matches the Rfam family "Archaeal small subunit ribosomal RNA", at positions 1 to 384 of the family's 1478-position model. The record is from RNAcentral.